AGAGUUUGAUCCUGGCUCAGAAUCAACGCUGGCGGCGUGCCUAACACAUGCAAGUCGAGCGAGAAAGUGGAGCAAUCCAUGAGUAAAGCGGCGCACGGGUGAGUAACACGUGACUAACCUACCCUUGAGUGGGGGAUAACCUAGGGAAACCUGGGCUAAUACCGCAUAAUACCUACGGGUCAAAGGAGCAAUUCGCUUAAGGAGGGGGUCGCGGCCGAUUAGUUAGUUGGCGGGGUAAUGGCCCACCAAGACUGUGAUCGGUAUCCGGCCUGAGAGGGCGCACGGACACACUGGAACUGAAACACGGUCCAGACUCCUACGGGAGGCAGCAGUGGGGAAUUUUGCGCAAUGGGGGAAACCCUGACGCAGCAACGCCGCGUGGAGGAUGAAGUCCCUUGGGACGUAAACUCCUUUCGACCGGGACGAUAAUGACGGUACCGGAAGAAGAAGCCCCGGCUAACUUCGUGCCAGCAGCCGCGGUAAUAC
This 486-nucleotide ribosomal RNA is filed under the name uncultured bacterium. RNAcentral's name for it is "bacterial SSU rRNA". It matches the Rfam family "Bacterial small subunit ribosomal RNA", at positions 8 to 526 of the family's 1533-position model. The record is from RNAcentral.